GCCCGAUCAUCUCUGCCAACCCCUGUUGCUCUUCGUCACUCUCCGUCAACUUUCGUGAUUGCCCGAUCAUCUCCGCCAACCCCUGUUGCUCUUCGUCACUCUCCGUCAACUUUCGUCUUCCAAUUAAGUUCACGCUCCGUUCUUUUCAUCACGGUCUAGCUAGCUCUCAGUCCUGGUCAGUCUCCUCGUUCCUCUCCUCUCUUCCCCGACCUCCAUUUCUGUCUGUCACUUCUCGAUGACUCUGUUACUCUCCGACCAGGCCAACCUCCCUUCUUGUCGCACUGUCACUCCACUAGUCUCCGUCACCAUGUUCGGCUCUUUCCGUAGCAGCCCCUUACUCUUCGUCAAUCUCCGUCACGUUGCCUCAUUCUCCGAUUAGGCUCGGCUCUCUUCGUAUAACUUCCUGUUAGUCACCUCGCCUUUCGUCACUUUCCGUCAGUGCUCGCCCCUUUCCGCCAGUCUCCGCCCUACAUCCCGUCGGACUGAGACAAUGGCCCGCCUUUACUCUCCAGAGAUGGGCUGUCUGUGUCCCCUGACCAGUUCCAUGGGGGAGAGGGGCCUCACUGUCGCUCCUACUGGCGUUCCCCACUCCUUGUUUCCUAGGCUUGAGAGCCAUGUAUGCUCUCUUUUGUGAAUUUAUAGCAUUUGCCCGUUUUUUCCUUUAUGAGGAAAAUUGUGCUAAGUGAUAUGAGUGGGGAAUUUAUUUUCCCAGUUUAUCUUUCGCCUUUUGGCUUUGAUUAUGGAGUGAUGUUUAAAAAAAAAAAAAAACUGAUCAAUAAGUCAAUUAGAGGUAAAAGGUUUUAUUGGGUGGAAAAAGGCUGUUUGGUAACAGGAGCACCCUGUGGAGAGUUGAGCUCCUCACGUUUAAUUUUGAUUAGCUUCUAUACAGUGCGAAGUGAGACGAAGCCUCACCUUCCUCACUUUUAAGGAGCGCUCUGGCUGUCCUUCUUCUGGGACAGAUUUGUUUGUCCUUCUGGCCAUCCGUUGUUGUAAAAUGGUUUAGCAGUAGCCUCAAACCUCGUCAUCUAACUGCACAGGGAGAAAGAAAACACCAUCAAGAGCCCAAGAAGGAUUCCCGUGAGGUGGAGGUCCGACAUACGUCUGCCUUCCAACCUUUUUUUUUUUUACCAACUCUGACAUCAGCCGUCCCUCCCGUGGCACUCUCUACGUCUGUGUUGAGUUUAGUAAUUCGUUACAGUGACCACACAGAACUCAGGAAUCCUUACAGUUCGGUGGUUUAUUAGGUUACAACUCAGGACCAGGAACAAGUAGCUACAAGUUGGGCUCAGGGUCAGGAAGGAUGUAGGCAAAGUAUCCCAUCUUCAGUGUAGGAGAGAUCUUGACCAUGCAGGGCUCCUCUCUUGGCCCUCAGCACUUGACCCCACUCAGGUCUGGCCCCUGUCCUGCUUGGGCAAGUGUUAAAAGCUCUUCAGCUCUGCGGUUAAGUGCCCAGAGGCACCGCACUCUUCCAGGAAGCCACGUGCCCGAACGCUCUCAGCUCUGUCACUCCGUGAGCUGGCAUCCCCAGUGUAGCCACCUCACUCUGUAUGCUGGGAAGCCAACCGUACUUUCUCAUCCCUGUCUCCUGGUUCUGCUGCUGCCAUUUCUCUACCGCUGCUUCUCACUGUAUAGUGCCAUCUUCAGUGUUGCAGCUCUCUGUCUCCUGGGUCUAGGAGGUUCCCAACACAGGGACCACAGGUCCAAAGGACGUAUUCUACCUCCGUCUCUUCUUCUUGAUGGUAGUGAGGUCCCCCACCUAACCUCUGAGAUUGGCUGUCUUUCAAGCCUAACAGGUUGGCAAAACUGAUCAAUCCCCUCGUUCAGAUUCCUUGCACCUAAUUUGCAUGAUCCCACCCCCAAUAGGGUUCCAUGCACCUUAUUUGCAUUGUUAGCAAGCUGUUCAAUCCCCUUGGUGGGUCACAAGUCCCACCCAUAGUCCCACCCAAUCAUUUGGUGAGAGUUACAAGACCAUAACAAGAAAAGCCAUAUAAAAGCAAUCCAUUGCACCUCAAUGGUAUAUUCAAUAUUCUUCGCCAACACCUUCAUUCACAUGGAUCAAUUCUUCUUCAGUCUUCCUUAUUCAUUGCCUAGCUCUCGAAUGCAUAGGAGGCAGUUGAAAAUACCAUGGCUUCGGUCAGGUGCACCUCAGUCCUUAAGGUGACAUCUCUGCUUUUUGACACUUUAAAGAGGUCUUUUGUAGCAGAUUUGCCCAAUAUAAUACAUUGUUCGAUUUCUUGACUACUGCUUCGAGGGACCAGUCUCUGAACAAGAACAUCAUGCUUGGAAAAGCAGAGGGUUGGAGAAAAAGAGGAAGACCCUCAAUGAGGUGGAUUGACAAAGUGGCUGCAAUAAUGGGCUAAAACAUAGCAAUGGUUGUCAGGAUGGUGAAGGACCAGUCAGUGUUUCAUUCUGUUGUACAUAGGGUUGCUGUGAAUCAGAACUGACUCGAAGGCACUUAACAACAACAUAUAAAAUAAACUGUUAGGGGAUUUCCCAAAACGGAAAUUUUAAAUAAUUGGUUGUCAUUCACUUAAUGGGCAGGAGACCGCUUGGAUUAGUUUAUUGAGUUUCUGUGUCUGCAUUUUAUAGGCUAGUAUGGCUUGUCUAAUUUAUUUAAACUUUUCUCAGGACUGUCUUUAUCAGGAGUCUUUAGUUUCUGCAAAAGGUUAAGAGUUAAGUUUAAGGGGAGGAGGUGGGCUUUUUCUUUAACAGUUUUUAAGCAGCUGGAUUUGUCAAUCUCUUCUUCAUGGCUUCUGGAUUUAUGACCUACUUGGAAGGAGCUUCUCUAUUUUGAUAACAUACAAUUUUUAUCCCUUGGGUUCUUCUCCUUUUAUGCUUUAGUUUUUCCAUCUUUGAUCCAUCCGGAAUUAUUUUUGGUGGAAGGUGUGAGGUAUGGAGCCAGAUUUCUUUCCUAGGUGGCCACCAUUUUUUCUUAAAUACCAUUUAUUGAAAAAUCCCCUUUUUCUUAACUGUGUGCAAUAUCAUCUUAAUCAUAUACUAAAUUUGUGGCGUAAUUCUUUCCAUAAUAAGAUCUUUAUGACCAGGCAAUCAGUUGAAAGGGAGUUUCCCUGGGAGUGUGGCCUGCCUCCAAUACAGGUGGACUUUCUGUCAAAGCUUGCUGGCUUUUGUUUACUCUGGAUCCUGCAGUUGGCUCCUGUUCGUCUGCCCCCCAGUUCUUGGUACUUGAGCUAGCCACUUACCUGCUGUCCUCGCUGGUGAUCCUGGGAUUCAUCGGCUUCUGCAGCCUGUGAACCCGAGGCCUGUUGUCUGACCUGCCAAUCUUUGGUUCGCCAGCCCCUGCAGCUACACGAGUGAGGAGAAGCCUGCAGCUUGAUCCACAGAUCUGGGAUUGUCUAGCCUCUGCAACAACAUGAGUCAUUUCCUUGGCAUAAAUCUCUCUCUGUUUACACACUUCACUGGUUUUGCUUCUCUAGAGACCUAGCCUAAGACAUCACAGGUCAGUAGUGUUAAAAAUUACUCAAAGCACAAAGAAAGAAAAGUAUAUAUGAUUUAUUCUAGGAGUUAAUCUGUUUGCAUACAGAGAGACCUCUGUUUCAGAAAAACAGGAGAGCCCAGUGUGGGACACUUAAACAGUGAGCUUUUGAAAGAGGAAAUAGAGUAGAAAACUGACCAGUGAAUAGUCUUAAUAUGAUGGAUUGAAUCAUGUCCCUCUUUCUGAGAUCAGCUGACAUCAGGUUACUAGGUGGUCUCUGGUUUGGCUAACCCCCAUUCAUUUGUGCAAAUUCUCAGGUGUAGUCUGGAGAAUUAAAAAUAACAAAGAUACCUCAGUUAUUCAGGGAAUCCCAAGGGUUAUCCUCAGGAAGCAAAAGAAAUUACCUUAAGUUAUGUUCUUUGCAUUAGAUAAACUCAGAGAUGUUUAACAAAUGUCUUUCUCACAAAGGGGAAUCUGUGAGACUUCAUGGUCACUGUGUCUCCACAUUACUUCUUUUUAUCUAUUUUUAGGUACAGUCAAUGGUCAGUGAGCUCUGUGAACUUUCCUAUGUGCUCAGUGGAAUCUGUCAAUUCAGACCUCAGUUUGUCUACUUUAACACUAGUAUGGAAUCAGGGAGGUGCAAGUAUGACUUUAUAAUUGUCUUCAUUCAGAGAUUAUGUAUAGAUUAACAAGAUGCAUACAGGUGCCAAGCUGACAGGGGGUGAACUGUGAUCAUUAAGGUUGUGUGUCAACUUGGCUGGGCCAUGAUUCUCAGUGGUUUGGCAGUUAUGGUGUAGUUUGGCAGUUGUAUGAUGAUGUGAUCACUUCCAUAAUAAGAUUUGAUAUAAUGUGAUCACCUCCAUAAUGGGAUCUGCUGUGAGUAGCCAAUCAGUUGAAAGGGAGUUUCCUUGGAGGUAUGGCCUCCAUCCAAUAUAAGUGGACUUUCUGGCAAGGGUCUCAAGCUUUUGCUCACUCUUGAUCCUGCAGUUGGCUCCUGUCCAUCUGACCACUGAUCCUUGGGAUUUGAGCUAGCAGCUUACUUGCUGUCUUGUCUGCCAAUCUGGAAUUCGGUAGAUCUUCGCAGCCUGUGAGCAAGAGCCCUUCUGUCUGUCCUGCUGAUCUAGGGCUCCCCAGCCGGUGCAGUGAUGUUAAUCAGGAGAACCCUCUAUCCUGAUCCACGGACGUGGGGCAUUCUAGCCUCUACAACCACAUGAGCCAUUUCCUUGAUAUAAAUCUCUCUCUACAUAUAUUUGGAAACCCUGGUGGCAUAGUGGUUAAGUGCUACAGCUGCUAACCAAGAGGUUGGCAGUUCAAAUCCACCAGGAGCUCCUUGGAAACUCCAUGGGGCAGUUCUACUCUGUCCUAUAGGGUCGCUAUGAGUCGGAAUCGACUCGACCGCAGUGGGUUUGGUUUUGGUUUUUUAUGUAUAUAUUUAUAUGCUUACUGGUUUUGCUUUCUCUAGAGACCCAGCCUAAGACACCAGGGCUGGGGAUCCUGUGGGAAAGGUAGCAGACACUCAAACCAACAGGUAUUGUUGCAACUGGAGUGAUACCUGUGGGCACCAGAACUUGAAGGGACUGCCUGGUUUUCCCCCGUCUUCCAAGUUUUCUGCCUUUGAUGGGGUGCAGCCUUACCACUUUUCUUUCCUUUUUGUUUAAGACACAAAAUACGAAGUUUGAUUUAAAUACUCUUGUUAGUAUUUAUUUUUAUUGUGCUUUAGGUAAAAGUUUACAGAGCAAAUUAAUGUCUCAUUGAACAGUUAAUACACAAAUUGUUUUGUGACAUUGGUUGCCAACUCCACCAUGUGUCAACACUCUCCCCUUCUCCACCCUAGGUUCCCUGUUUCCAUUUGUCCAAUUUUCCUGUCCCUUCCUGCCUUCUUGUCUUUGCUUUUGGGCUGGUGUGCCCAUUAGUCUCCUAUGUAUGAAUGGAACUAUGAAGCACAUUCCUCAUGUGUGUUAUUGGUGGCCCUGUUAUUGUUGUUAGGUGCCAUUGAGUUGGUUCUGACUCAUAGUGACCCUAAGUACAACAGAAUGAGACACUGCCUGGUCUUGUGCCAUCCUCAGGAUCGUUGUUAUGCUUGAGCCCAUUGUUGCAGUCACUGUGCCAAUCCAUCUCAUUGGGGGUCCCCCUCCCCUUUGCUGACCCUCCACUUCACCAGGCGUGAUGGCACCCUUUGCUGGUCUCUCCUGACAACAUGUCCAAAGUAUGUGAGAUGAAGGCUCGUCAUCCUCACUGCCAAGGAGCAUUCUGGCUGUACUUCCUCCAGGGUGGCCCUAUAGACCUGUCUAAUCUUUGGCCAAGGGUGAACCUCAGGAGUGACUUCUGUACUGAAUUAAAAGGAUGUCUGGGGGCCAUACACUUUUCUCCAGUCUCUGUCAGACGAGCAUGCCUGAUUUUUUUUUUUUUUUUUUGAGAAUUUAAAUUUUGUUCUACAUUUUUCUCCCACUCUGUCCAGGACCCUCUAUUAUGAUCCCUGCCAGAGCAGUUGAUGUAUUCUUGUGACUUUCCUAUAGCUAUUUUUAGUGGAAAAUAUUUGAGUUUUCCUUCUCUCACAGGUUUCUGCCUUAAGCAGAUUCCAGCUUUUGCAGGUUUUGAUGACUAUGGCUGUGGCCACGGCCCUGUGGGGAGUCUGAGCUGGAGUGUGAAUUGAUACUGUUCUGGACAGCAACUGGGCCCACUAUAAAAUAUUAUGUUGGGUAUACUAUGUCAGUGGACACGCAGGAGAUUACUGGGUCGUUAAGCAUGAGCCUGUAAAGGAGUGUUAACUGACAUGGAGGGGACUGCCAGCAUCCUGAUGAGAGGACACCAGGUUAGGAAGCAGUCCACCCCCUCAGGGUGCUGAGGGUGAACACAGUCAAUGUGAAUGAGGAUUAAUUCCCAUCAUUUGUGGGGACACCUAACCCUGGGGUCACAUGCAGGCCCUGGGCAUAACAGGCUGUGAGCCUUCAGCCCACUUUCAGUUGGAUGUGCGCUAGGGUGGAGGUCAAGGGUCAGAAUUUGAGUCAAGCUUUUCAGCUUAGGUGUGGAAAGGUGCAGAGUAACAUGGCAACGCCACGUUUAGGUUCUGUCCAGAGGCCCCACGUGCAAAUUCCUGCCUCCAAGACUUUGGUGGCUUCCCGGCUUGCUAGUGGGCAGGAAGCCGCCACAGUCCCUCUGCUGGCUCCCACAGAAAUUGGCCGCUUCUCUUUGUUCUACUCGGCUGGGCCAACUCGGCUCUCCGCUGCUGCCCGGCCCCACUCGGCUCUCUCCGCCGCUGCCCGGCCCCACUCGGCUCUCUCCGCCGCUGCCCGGCCCCACUCGGCUCUCUCCGCCGCUGCCCGGCCCCACUCGGCUCUUUCCGUCACUGUCCGUCUCCCCUCUCGGCCCACUCCGCCACUGCGGGCACCAUUCGGUUCUCUGUGUCAUUUUCUGUCACUUUGCGGUUCAGUUGUUUCCGCCAUUUUCCGUUACUCCUUGCCUCUCCAUUUCCACUCCGUUUCAUCUCAGAGUCCUUCACUCUCUCCAUUGCCCAUCUGCGCUUUUGGUGUCUGAGACUCAGCUCUCCAGCCUUUUUCUGCCUCUCCCGCCACUGCUUGUCCCCACUGGUUGUCUGUCUGUCCUUUGCCCUUUGUCUCUCCAUCAUAUGAGUUUGAUUAGCCGUCGCUUCGUACGUCUCUCUUCGUACGUCUCCGUUUCUGGCCACCAAUCUCCGACUACGCUCGGCUCUCUUCGUCACUUUCCGUCAAUUCUCGUCCUUCUCCGUCAAGUCUCGUAAUUGUUCGGUAAUCUCCGUCACUCGCGUUGCUCUUCUGCGUUCUCCGUCAGUUUUUGUCAUCCAGUUAGGUUCAAGGUCCCUUCUUUUCGUCACUGUCACCACUUUUCGCUACGCUCUAGCUAGCUCUCACAUCGUGGUCUCCUCAUUCCUCUUCUCUCACCCUCGACCUCCAUUCCUAUUACUUCUCGAUGACUGUUAGUCUCCGAUCAGGCCAAGGUCCCCUAGACGACAAUCCGCCUGUUACUCCGCUGGUCUCCAUCACCAGCUGCGGCUCUUUCCGUACCCCGCCCCCCCGUUCGUUAUGCUCCGUCACUUUUCGUCGUUCUCCGGUGAGGCUCGGCUCUCUUCGUCUGCCUUCUGCUUUGUCAACGUCUGUUUUUGUCAUUUUCCGUCAGUGCUCGCCACUUUCCGUCAGUCUCCGCCACCCUCCGAGUGGGCUCGGGUCUCUCCGUCAUUCAUCGUCCAUCGUCGUCGGUCUCUGUCUCCUGAGUGCCUGUCUUCCCCGCCUCGGGCAGUCAUUCACGUGGCCGGUAAACAGCCAUCCCUACCUGUGAAGCAGAUGCGGACCACACUAUUCAAAGACUCUGCAAUGGAAUCUUACAGGAGAAACUAAAAAAUAUGAGUGGAUAACCAGAGCCUAACUCCCAGGGGAGCAUACGCUUAAGAAAGGCAGUUUGUGUUCCAAAUGUGGCAGCUCCCCAGAAAGAAAACUGACAGAAAGCUGCAGGUGACAAAGAAGAUCCGGGGCAGGAGAACUCCAGCCUGAUGUUUUCGUUACCACUUGGCUGGCCUUGCUGGAUCUGGACAGUCGUAGGUCCAUCCUUUGCCCUCUCUCAACAAGAGAACUCUCCCGAAAUCUAAUGGAUCCUCAGAGAUACGCAACCAGGACAAUACGUGAACCUCAGUCUUCAGGUCUUGGUCCCACUGGCUCCCCACGCACUGAGUCUUCCCACAAACUGCUGUAACCGGUGAGGUUUCUGAGCCCACCUGGGCAGAAUCAGCAACGUCUUCCUUGAGGUCCCUUACCUGAGCCUUCCACUGAAGACACAUUUCGCCCUGUGGCUGCUCUGGAAACGUUUGACGCCCCAGGCGCCUCUGUUAACUGCGCUUCUCUGUAGAGUUCUUGGAUCGUCACAGCUGAACCUCUUUGCAGUCAAGUGUGCUGUGUGUCACAGUUCUUAUACCUUAGGUGCAUCUUGAAGCUGAGGGGCCGUCCAGUCACCCCCAUCUUGGUGCUGUCAAGUUGGUUCCGACUCAUAGCGACACUGUGUGCAGCAGAACGAAACACUGCCCGGUCCUGUGCCGUCCUCACAGCCAUUACGCUUGAGCCUGUUGUUGGAGCCACUGUGUCAGCCCAUCUCGUUGGGGGUCUUUUUCACUGACCCUCUGCUUUGCCGGGCACGAUCCUUCUUCAGGGACUGGUCCCUCCUGAUAACAUGUCCAAAGUGCGUGAGACAAAGUCUUGCCAUCCUUGCUUCUGAGGAGCAUUCUGGCUCUACUUGUUCCAAGACAGAUUCGUUCGUUCCAGCAGUCCAUGGUAUAUUCAGUAUUCUUCAGCAUUGCCAUUCAAAGGCGUUGAUUCUUCCGUCUUCCUUAUUCCUUGUCCAGCAUUUCUAUACAUAUGAGGCGAUUGAAAAUACCAUGGCUUGAGUCAGGUGCACUUUAGUCCUCGAAGUGACAUUUUCACUAAAUGAAAUUGAUAUCAUUUUAUAAGUUUUGUCUAUGAGAACAAUUAUAUUUUCCUUUUCAUCUCGGACCAAUCGUGUAUAAUGCUCACAUUCAGUUCUCGUUGACCCCCUAAGAACGUGCCAGUGGUACUAUAAUAACGUGACUCAUAAUGCAUCUGGUCCUGUCCUGUGCAGAGUGAACCAAAUGCAUCUUCAGAUCGAACAUACCCUUGUAUCAUACUCUUUGCAACCGCUCUUACCCCCCGUUGGGUAUCAGCAGUAGUCCAAUGAACUGUGAAGACGCAACAUCAAAGGACAGAAAGUGAGUGUGUAAUUUUUUAAGUGUUCAACGUGAAGAGCACUUGUGGAGAUCUGUUGUGAAGGGCCUGCCAACAAACAUCGUAUGACAAAUGAGUGAGAUGAUUUCUGACUGCCUUGUAAGUACUAUUUCUUUGGACUUUCUCAGACCUGAGGAACAAAAUUGCAUGUACCAAAUGAGUUUUUUUUACUUACUAAAUCUCAAAUACAAGCUUUUGUGUUAAUGUCUAAAUUCAAAUGUAAAUUUUGUUUUUAUAGAUUUUACUCGUUUUGUAGAUUUUAUAUAUUUUCAGUUACUCAAACUAUUUGCUACGGUAGACCCAAAUUUAAAAAGUGGCAUAAUUUUAUAUCCAGGUAAAAUGGAACGGCAGCAACUAAGUGGAGCGCAAAAACGAAAGCUCACGGAGGAAAAAAAGAAAAGGAUCUGUGAAUCCCUAAAGACAACUCCAAAAAUAACUUUCUCUUUAAAGUACGGUGAUUCACAAGAGACUUCUCCCGUUGAACACUGGAGUUCAAUGGGUGUAAAUCGUUGUUCUGAUACCGCUAGUGCCGAAAUUACUAAUAGCAGCGCGAGUGUAACAGAACUAGUUCCAAAUUCUGCAUCCAUGCCUUGUUGUAGUAAAAGUAAGAAUGGUGUAGGAAGCGAAGCUUUUUUAAAAUCUGAAGUCACAUCUGCAGACCCCUUACAUAACAGAAAUACAGAUCCUGCUCUGUGGAAUAACUUUUCUUCUAAUGAUGUAAAGUAUUGGAUCGAAAGAGGGCCAAGUGAUUGUCAGCAUCACAGCGGACCAUUUGAAAACUCGUGUCGAAAAUUUCUGGGUGGUAAACAAACAAGGUUCUGUAGCCAGAAUAUAUUUCUAGGGUGCAAAGCUAAUGGUGAAAAUUAUAAGAGGGAGUGGCUACUGUAUUCUCCAUCAGUCGGCUCUGUGUAUUGUUUUGUCUGCAAAUUAUUCAGUCCUAAAUCAUUUAAUUCUCGAUUUGCUACGGAUGGCUUUAGCGAUUGGAGCAACUCAAAUAUGAUUCAUAAACAUGAAAACAGUUCCAUUCACAGAGAUUGUAUGUUGUCGUAUUUAAACAGAAGACAUAAUUUUGGCUUCACUCAUGAGUUUGAAACACAAAUUGAUGAAGAACAUCAGUAUUGGAAGGCCAUUUUGCGACGUAUUGUUGCUGUCAUCAUAACAAUUGCUGAACGUGGACUGUCUUUUCAAGGAAGGAAUGAAGUCUUUGGGUCCCCACAAAAUGGAAAUUUUCUGGGUUUACUUGAACUUGUUGCUCAGUUUGAUCCAUUUUUAGCGGGUCACAUUUCAAAAUAUGGUAACACAGGAAAGGGCAACCCAUCGUGUAUGUCUAAAACCACAUGUGAAGAAUUAGUAAGCUUGAUAAGUGAUAAAGUUCGAACAGCCAUUUUCAGUGAGAUAAGUGUAGCUCGAUAUUUCAGUUUGUCUGUAGAUUCCACUCCUGACCUUUCCCAUACAGAUCAGCUAAGUAUUGUUUUGAGGUACGUAUCUCCAACAGAUGGGAGACCUGUCGAGCGAUUUAUCACAUUUACUAGCUUAAAAAGUCACACUGGUGAAGAAAUUGCAGAUCAAGUACUUCACUAUUUAUGUGAAGUUUGCAAAGUUGAUUUUUCUAAGUGCAGAGGCCAGUCCUAUGACAAUGCUGCCAAUAUGUCAGGGCGUUAUAAAGACAUGGAACAGAAGAUUUUAGAAUGUAAUGAAUAUGCCAUUUUCGUACCAUGUGCUGCGCAUUCCCUUAAUCUCGUAGGACGUAGUGCUGUAGAUGGUUGUCCAGAAGCAGUUGAUUUUUUUUCUUCUGUGCGCUUACUUUGCACAUUUUUUGCAAGCUCUGCUCACAGAUGGGCAGUUCUCAAGACAUAUUUAGGCAAUGAUCGAUUAUUAAAAUGUCUUUCUGAUUCACGUUGGGAAGCACACGCUGUAGCAACAAGUGCAAUCCUGGAAUCGUACCCUCAGAUUCUAGAUGCCUUAGACGAUAUUGCUGAAGACCAGACACAGAAAGGAGACACCAGAAGAGAGGCUGCAAACAUCGCCAACAGAAUGCAAACGCUGGAGUACGUGUUUAUGUUGGUCAUGUGGAAUCAUAUAUUGCAGCAUUUUCAUUGGACGAGUCAAGCUCUCCAAGAUUCGGAAGUAAAUUUACAGACAUGCACAGAUCUCUACCGGUCAUUAACAGGGUAUUUGCAUAAUUUAAGAGAGGAUUUUGAAAAAUUUGAGAAAACAACAAAACAGAUACUGCCGCAUAGUAACUAUCAAGCAGUUGACCAUCGCAGAAGCGUUAGAAAGAAACGAGUAGACGGCGGAGGAGCUCCAGAAGUAUCGCUGAGCGCCAGAGAUGAGUUUCGUGUAACUACAUACUACGCCAUCGUUGACAUACUGGAAUCUUGCAUGAAAAGAAGGGCAGAGGUGUACGCAGUUCUUGCAGAUAGAUUUUCCUUCUUAAACAACGUGGAUAUACCUGACGAAGAAUGCAUGAAGGCAUCCCAGAAAUUAGUGCAGGCUUAUCCCGAUGACUUAAAUACAAACCUUUAUGGAGAAGUGCGACAAUUUCAUUCUUACAUGAGAACUAAGUUUACAGAUUCAGGAAGGACAAAUUUUACUCAUGUAGGCAUGUAUGAUUCCAUAAUAGAAGAUAAAAUACAGUGUGUAUUUCCCAAUGUUGAAAUUGCUUUACGCAUAUUCCUAACUUUAAUGAUCACAAACUGUACAACAGAACGCUCAUUUUCAUCCCUAAAGAGACUCAAAAAUACUCAGCAUACGGCAGUGAUUCAAGAAAGACCUGAUGCAUUGUCCUUAUUAUGUAUGGAAGUAGAUAUUGUUCGGCAGCUUAAUUAUGAUGAGAUCAUUGAAGAAUUCGUACAGAGCAAAGACUAGGAAGAAAUGUUUUUAGUUCCAGUUGUCCCUUGGUAUCCUCGGGGGAUUGGUUCCAGGAAAACCUCCACCCAUCCUGCAGAUACCAAAGUCUGCAGAUACUCAAGCCACUUUGAUAAAAUGAUGUAGUGCCCACGUCCUCCUGUAUACCUUGAGUCAUCUGUAGAUCACUUAUAAUACCUAAUACAACGUCAGUGCUAUGUAAAUAGUUGUUAGUGCUUACACCUAACACUUACUGGUCUUUCAGUCUUUGCAAGCACUUUAUCAUGAACCAGAGAGACCGUUUUGCCAUCGUAGGGGCAGCACUACCACUUCCACAAAAGUCAGCUUCUUUCUGUUUUAUUGUGGGAACGCUUGAUUCGUUCCUGCUGACCUUACAGCCCACUUGGCAAGCCAUGUGCCACUUUUCAAAAGAUCUAAGAUUUUUAUUUUCUCAUCAAGAGAUAGCACUUUACACAACAUCUUAGCCUUUGAGGGAUUGCUUUGACCACUUAAUUGCUUUUUAGGAACCAUUUUUUCACAGAAACGUAGGAGGCACACAACGUAAGUAGAAAACUAACUGGACGCGCGGCGAGCAGCGCUGGGGAGAGACUGCGGGUCUGUGAAAUGGCGGGAGGCUACAGCAGGGGAUGGCCACACGUCGUUUCCUUCGUGUGGAUUCAGCGGAACGCUCUCCACACAGCAGAUUGAAGUCGCGCUUUUUGGAACCCCCCCUUUUUUUUUUCCUGCAUAUUUUCUACUGACGGUUGGUUGAAUCCUUGAAUGUGGAACCUGCAGAUAUGGAGGGCCAACUGUAGGACAUGUUAGAGAUGAAAGAUCUGUCGAAAAAUAGGGUAAUUUGUUGUAAUAUUUUUUUUCUGAUCGUUAAAUUUUGUUUUAUUACACUUUUGUUCAUUUAUAAUUAGAGCAUGUAUUCAAAACAAGCAUCACAGUUGAAGUAUGAACGAUUUAAAGUAAAAUUGGUGAAAGUCAGUUUUUGGUUGUGGGAGAUCAACAGAAUUUUACAUUGAUUGUUGAAACAACCAAGUUUACUGACUCGUUUUCUUGUAGAAUCUGUGGAAUAUUCUUUUUGUAGAAAAUGUGUAUAGUAAAAAUGUCAGUAUCCUGCUUCCACUAAAAGUUUUAUAACAUAGUUCAUCUCGUUCCACUAAAAUGGCUUAUGCCACUUGUGCGUUUAAUCGCUAAUAUAGUCACUUUUAAAAAGAAGCUACAUCAUGGAUAGCUAAGACACGUAUGUGUAUAUAUCUGUGACUUACAUGUAUGUGUAACACACAUAGCCCGUUUGAAUGCGUGAGUCAGCAGAGGAGGGGGCACACAGAGUGUCAGUGUUUAUGGCCCUUGCGUGCCUUCCUGCCCUGCCACCUGAGAGUUCCGACCCCCCAGUCAUGCCCUCCCAGGACACUGAGCCCUGCCUUCAUACCGGCUUUGGCAGUGGGCUGCAGGCGGCACCCACCCACUGUGGGGAGGUGAGGGAAGCACCACGGUUGAAGCACCCUCUCAAAGAGGGCUACGUGCUGCAGCUGGGAGUGGGGCAUCCAGUCCCCCUCCCAGGGCCUUGUCACCAUCCUGGGCCCCUGGGAGAGAUGGUAGAGGAUCCCUGGGGACAGGAGCUUUCUCCUCACCCCGACCCUGUACCUGCACCCCACCUCCCUCCUUGUUCUUCACUUAAACUUUCCCUCCAUUUCUGCAGAAGUCCCAAGGGAUUUAAGUUCUUCUACAACUUCUGCAGAUUCCCUCCAGAGCUGCCCCUACUCCCCGACCUCGUUUAUUGUGGGUACAGGUCCCUGGAAGAGAAGAAAGGGAAGGACCAGGGGCGAGAUGUCCUCUGACUGGGGGUGGAGAUGGGCACUGGAUACAGGUUCACACAAGUGGCCACCGGUCAUUCGAGGCCACCAACUUGUCACGUUACACGAAUGGCCCUUCUGUAUCUGGCAUGCAGUCUUGGCCCCAGAUUCCGGACAUGGUUAAAGUGCUUGGCUGCUAACUGAAAGCCACGAGCGGCAAAGCAGGAGAAGGAUGUGAUAGGCUUCUGUAAAGAUUACAGCCUUGGAAACCCUAUGGGGCAGUCCUACUCUGUCCUGUAGGGUCCCUAUGAAUCAAAGUCAACCUUAGGUUAGCAGCCAAGUACUUAACCCUUGCACCACCAGGGCUUCUUCUGCAACCUUACAGGGCACUGCCCUGGGCCAGGCACACACGACCACAUUUAAUCCUCAUUACAACCCUGACAGGGACAGACUGUUACCUCCGUUUUACAGUUGAGGGAUCUGAGUCACAGAUAAGUAACUAGGAAGCAGAGCUCGAUUUGAACCCAGAGUCUGUGCUCUUGGCCCCUCAACAUUUGUUUGACAUUAUGGGCUUUCCCUAAGGACUUCUCGUGGCAAGGUGGUUAAAGCACUCAACUGCUAACCGAAGGGUUGGAACCCACCAGCCAUUCUGUGGAAGAAAGACCUGGCAAUCUGCUCCCAUGAAGAUUGUAGCCUAGGAAACUUUAUGAAGCAGUUCUAUUCUGCCACAUGGGGCUGCUGUGAGUAUCAACUUGAUGGUACCCAACUCGACCAACAAUGGCUUUUCCCUUCAUCACACCCUUUGAACCUAAUAGGCAUUUUCGUGGGUAGCUGCUGUCUUCCAGAGAAGGCACUGAAGACCCAGUGAAGCCUACGUCAAGGUCACACAGCAAGAAAGGAGCCUGUGAUCUCCAGGGCUGUGUUCGUGGUUGCAGUCAGAGGGCCCAGGCCACACGGGACUCCAGGGCUGCCCCAGGCCCCUGGUGGGGAGGUGACCUGGGGACGCUGGCAGGUGGCAGAGGUGGAGUGUGAAGAUGGGCAGUUAGGGGAGGGAUCAUAAGUGGUCUCUGGGUGAGGGAGGGGCCGCCACACACCCACUGACCAGGACCUGGCCUUGGCCCACCUCACCUGCAGCAGGAUGCAGAAGUUGAAGAAGCUCGUGGUGGAGGAGGGGCCAGGGAUGAGCAGAUGAGGGGAGAGUGAGCCCGGUGACGCUGGACCCUCCUAUCCCACCAGGAUCCCUGGAGAAAAUCUCACUGCAUUGCUCGAGAAACUUCCGUCGCCACCACCGUCAACGUCCCCAAACCCAACCUGCUGUUUCCCCUGGCCUCCCAUCUCCUGAGGGUCCACUGUUUCCUCAGACACUGAGACCCCGGGGGCCCCCACACAGCCUAUCAGACCCCAGCUUUUCCCUGAUCUCUGUCCCCAAGAUCUGGUGCAGGCCACAUCUCUGGACUCUACCCCAGCCCCCUCCCUGCCACGGGUCUGUUCUCAUGGCCCUUGAGGGUCUUUCUCCACUCCAAGGUGACCUUGCCCCUCCCACGCUUACAGCCCUCCCAUGGUCCCCAGCACCCCAGGAUAAAGCUCAGCCCCUCAGCAUCCCUUUCGAGGACAUGUGUGGCUUCCCCACUCCACCCUCUGGCUGAGACAUUCAGAGCCCUGUCUUUCUAGACACAACCCAAAUAACCCAAACCCAGUGCCAUCAAGUCAUUUCCGACUCGUAGCGACCCCGUGCAGUGCACAGUAGAACUAUCUCAUAGGGUUUUCUUGGUUGUAAUCUUCAUGCAAACAGACACCCAGGCCUCCUGCAACACCCCUAGGGGGGUUCAAACCACCAACCUUUCACUUUGUAGUUGAGUGUAAGCCCUUUGUGCCACCCGAAGCCUCUGAAACAGCCAGUUCUUCCGUGUUCCCUCCUGCAAUUUUGUGCCCCUACACCUUUGCUUGGAG
Long non-coding RNA from Loxodonta africana (African savanna elephant), 15794 nucleotides. RefSeq lists it as uncharacterized. The record is from RefSeq and is a predicted model, not a curated record. NCBI's taxonomy places the organism in Eukaryota, Metazoa, Chordata, Mammalia, Proboscidea, Elephantidae. The transcript is spliced from 8 exons.